Molecule: ribosomal RNA, 1489 nt
Filed under: bioreactor metagenome
Description: bacterial LSU rRNA
Rfam family: Bacterial large subunit ribosomal RNA
Source: RNAcentral
GGCUUAGAAGCAGCCAUCCUUUAAAGAAAGCGUAAUAGCUCACUAGUUCAGCGAAUGCGCGCCGAAAAUUCACGGGACUAAACAUGUUACCGAAGCUGUGGAAUUUCCGACGGAAGUCGGGAGUUGGUAGAGGAGCGUUCCGUAAGCCAGAGAAGGUUUUCCGACAAGGGAAGCUGGAGGUAUCGGAAAUGAGAAUGCUGGGAUAAGUAGCGAUAAUGAAGGUGAAAAACCUUCACACCGAAAAUCUAAGGUUUCCUGGGCAAGGCUCGUCCUCCCAGGGUAAGUCGGGUCCUAAGCCGAGGCGGAAAAAUACGCGUAGGCGAUGGCAAACAGGUUUAAAAUUCCUGUACCUUUAUUGAGUAGCGAAGUGGUGACGCGGGAAGCUAUAAGUCAGCCCCCUGUUGGAUGGGGGUCUAAGCGCAUGGGCAGAACUCUUUGGCAAAUCCGGGAGUUUAAUGCUGAAGCGUGAUGGGGAACGGAAAUCUUCGGAUGAAGGAACUGACUGAAGCUCGACCGCCAGGAAAAGCCUCUAAGCGUUGUAACUUGAUGGAGCCCGUACCGUAAUCCGACACAGGUAGAUGAGGCGAGUAGCCUAAGGUGCGCGAGAGAACCGUGGUAAAGGAACUCGGCAAAAUAGCCCCGUAACUUCGGGAGAAGGGGUUCCUGAGUAAUCAGGACGCAGUGAAGAGGCUCAAGCGACUGUUUAACAAAAACACAGCACUCUGCGAAAUCGAAAGAUGACAUAUAGGGUGUGACACGUGCCCGGUGCCGGAAGGUUAACAGGAGAUGUCAGGGGGUUUACCCUCGAAGCGUUGAAUCGAAGCCCCGGUAAACGGCGGCCGUAACUAUAACGGUCCUAAGGUAGCGAAAUUCCUUGUCGGGUAAGUUCCGACCUGCACGAAUCGUGUAACGACUUGAGCACUGUCUCUACCACGGACUCGGCGAAAUUGGAUUACUGGUGAAGAUACCAGUUACCCGCAGUUAGACGGAAAGACCCCAUGAACCUUUACUGCAACUUGGCAUUGGGUUUUGACUGCGCAUGUGCAGGAUAGGUGGGAGACUUUGAAGUCGCGGCGCCAGCCGUGAUGGAGUCAACCUUGACAUACCACCCUUGUUCAGUUGAAAUUCUAACCUUGCGCCCUGAAUCGGGCGCGGGGACAGUGCCAGGGGGCCAGUUUGACUGGGGCGGUCGCCUCCUAAAUUGUAACGGAGGCACGCAAAGGUUCCCUCAGCAUGGUCGGUAAUCAUGCGUCGAGUGUAAAGGCAUAAGGGAGCUUAACUGUGAGACAGACAAGUCGAACAGAUGCGAAAGCAGGCCUUAGUGAUCCGGCGGUUGGAAAUGGAACUGCCGUCGCUCAAUGGAUAAAAGGUACUCUGGGGAUAACAGGCUUAUCGCGCCCGAGCGUUCACAGCGACGGCGCGGUUUGGCACCUCGAUGUCGGCUCGUCGCAUCCUGGGGCUGAAGAAGGUCCCAAGGGUUUGGCUGUUC